GUCUACAUCACGUUGAAACACAGGUUCACAUUCGAUCACCGAAGUUGAGCAACGUCGAGCCUGGUCAGCAACAACAUGGGUGACCGCUAGGGAAUACCAGGUGCUGUUUG
Non-coding RNA from Acanthosepion pharaonis, 110 nucleotides. The record is from the annotation of a GenBank genome assembly. NCBI's taxonomy places the organism in Eukaryota, Metazoa, Mollusca, Cephalopoda, Sepiida, Sepiidae.